RNAcentral lists this ribosomal RNA (430 nucleotides) under uncultured bacterium. RNAcentral describes it as "partial 16S ribosomal RNA". It matches the Rfam family "Bacterial small subunit ribosomal RNA", at positions 338 to 795 of the family's 1533-position model. The record is from RNAcentral.
CCUACGGGUGGCUGCAGUCGAGAAUCUUCGGCAAUGGGCGCAAGCCUGACCGAGCGAUGCCGCGUGUGGGAUGAAGGCCUUCGGGUUGUAAACCACUGUCAGUGGGGAGGCCAAUCCGCAGAGGAAGUACGGGCUAAGUUCGUGCCAGCAGCCGCGGUAAGACGAACCGUACGAACGUUAUUCGGAAUUACUGGGCUUAAAGGGUGCGUAGGCGGUGCAGUAAGUUGGGUGUGAAAUACCUCGGCUCAACCGAGGAACUGCACUCAAAACUACUGUGCUUGAGGAAGACAGAGGUAAGCGGAACUUAGGGUGGAGCGGUGAAAUGCGUUGAUAUCCUAAGGAACACCGGUGGCGAAAGCGGCUUACUGGGUUUUCUGACGCUGAGGCACGAAAGCUAGGGUAGCGAACGGGAUUAGAUACCCUAGUAGUC